UGGUGUCCCAAGGAGACUCAGUGACGCUGACUUGCAACAUAUCCAAGACAAAUGCAACACAAAUCUCCUGGACCAACAACAGAUCUGUUUUUCAUUAUUCCAUUGAGCUGAAUCGCACCCAUUCAAAUUUCUCAUUUCAUAGACUGAAAAUAAAUCAUGAGUUUCCAACAAAGCUCGUUAUUUUUAGUGCUCAACCUGAAGAUGAAGGACUUUAUACAUGUAGCAUAACAGAUAGAAGUGGCCUUUACAGCAUUACAUGGAGUUUGACUGUGUCUGAGAACCCCAAAGAAUCCACUUCAUCAAAGUAUUUUCUAUACAUACUCCCACCUGCAAUUGGAUUCCUUCUGUGUUGCAUCACACUCGCUGUGUUUCUCUACAGAAAAAGCAUGAUGAUGAAACUAAAUCAGGAUGCCGUCCAGGAUCAGAUUCCUCCUCAGUCAGGAGAAGAGGGUGGCAGCACUAAUUGCAAAAACAACAGGCAGAGGAGUCAGUAUAUGGAGAGACUGAAUUCAAUCUAUGAUCACUUCAAUCUAUGAAGUGAUCAACUGAAAAACCUUCCAGUUCCUGACAGACAUGAACAGUGUCAAAGGAGAAACUAAAAGGGAACGCCGUCAGAGGGAGAACACCCGGGCUAUAAUACCCUCAGCUUCAGCUCAGACAAAUGACUCUGCCUGUGAGCAGAACAGUUCCAACCAUCCAUCACCAUCCAAGGAGCUUUUAUAUCUCAAGGAUCUUUGCUGUAACAACUUUGAGAGCACUUAGUUUGACAGAAGUGUUUUUCUUCAUCUGUGAGUAUAAGACCAGGUUCACCAACUUAUGUACUGUCAACCUAUUGACUGACUAUAAGAAAGCCUAUGACUCACACGGAUCCUGGAAUGCCUAGAAAUACAAGAACAACAGGACCCUAAGAGCCUUCAUCAGGAAUUCAAUGGGGAUGUGGUGAACAAUGCUAGAGGCCAACUUGAAGCCAAGUGCGUGGUCAAGUGUGGGAUUUACCAAGGAGAUGCACUGUCCCCACUGCUGUUCUGCAUAGGCCUGAACCCCCUUAGCCAGAUCAUCAACAAGACUGGCUAGGGAUAUCAACUACACAAUCAAGCAAUCAUUAGCCACCACAACUAUAUGGAUGACAUCAAGCUGUAUGCCAAGAGAGAACGAGACAUAGACUCACUGAUCCAUACCACUAGGAUAUACAGCAAUGACACUGUGAUGUCAUGCGGACUGGAGAAGUGUAGUGAGAUGGUAACAAAGAGAGGGAAAGCAGAACUGAGCAAACUGCACUGGCAGAAGGCAACAAUGCAGACAUCAAGGCCAGCUACAAGUCCAUCCAUACCAUGCAUGGAGGGUUUCACCAUAUCCUGGGAUUGUGCACUAAGCAGAAUGAAGGAGACUAGUGAGUGUCAGUGUCAUUAUUGCUUUACUCUGCAGAAAGAUUAUGAUAAGGACACUGAAUCAGGAUCAGUUUCUCCCUCAGUCAUGAGAAGAGAUCAGAAGAUCGUCAUCAUCUUUAAUACUCUCAAAUUUUGUCUACCAAAUUUUAUUUUAGCCUUUUGUCUGUAUAGGUAAGUAUAUUUAUUUAUACAUGAUUUGAAGUUCUCUGAACCAUUUUCCAACAAAAGACACUCAGGAAAUUCAGACCUCCACCAAGGCAGGUCACUCUCUGUGCAGGAUUUUAGGGAAUAGUGUUGUAAUUUGUGUUCAUUAUUUUGUUUUCUUUGUUGCUUUUAAGCAUUUUAAAGAAGUUUCACUGCAGAAAUAAUUAAGUGUAAAGUGCAGACGUUUGCUGUUUGCCCCACAGAAAUACUUUUUAAUAUGUGUGCCAUAAUUUUGAGUAUAAUAAUAAUAAUAAUAAUUUUUUAUUGUUCAUUAAUGUGGAUGUAGCGGAUGUUUGUUUAGUAAAAUGUCCUUAAAUAUUUAGUAAUAAUUAGCAAAUGAACAAACGUUUUCUAUGUUAAUGAACAUUUUUGGAUUUUAGCUAUUCUGUUUUUACAUUUUGUAUUUUUGUAUUGAUUUUUUUAUUUUGUCUUUACAUCAGAGAGUGGUACAGAGCUGUGUUGUUGUCAACAAGACACUUGGUGAUGUUGACUUGUAGCAUAUCCAAUAAAAAAAAGAUAAAACAAUAAUCUCUUGGAUUUUCAAUAUUUCCUUCUGCUAGAAUCACUGCACAUAAACAGCGGUUAUAGUUGUUUGGCCUGCAGCAUUCACACUACCCCCCUAAAUGUACUUGAAAUGAGAGGAGAGUUAAACACAGAAUUAAUUUGACUGCAAUCUGCUAUCUACUGACAUCUAGUGGUGAGAUUACAGCUACACACUGUACCUUAAAUCAACCUCCCAGUUUUUAAGUGACUGUUUAAGACUGACAUAUUAUAUUAUUUGUAUGUUGAAAUAUUAUGUGAUUA
Molecule: long non-coding RNA, 2396 nt
Organism: Haplochromis burtoni (Burton's mouthbrooder)
Lineage: Eukaryota; Metazoa; Chordata; Actinopteri; Cichliformes; Cichlidae
Exons: 4
Source: RefSeq, a predicted model, not a curated record